CCUACGGGAGGCAGCAGUGAGGAAUAUUUGUCAAUGGACGCAAGCCUGAACCAGCCAUGCCGCGUGCGGGAUGACGGCUCUAUGAGUUGUAAACUGCUUUUGUACGGGGGUAAACCCCGAUACGUGUAUCGCGUGGAAAGUAUCGUACGAAUAAGGAUCGGCGAACUCCGUGCCAGCAGCCGCGGUAAUACGGAGGAUCCGAGCGUUAUCCGGAAUUGUUGGGUGUAAGGGGUGCGUAGGCGGUUUGAUAAGUUAGAGGUGAAAUGCCGGGGCUCAACCCCGAAACUGCCUAUAGUACUGUUGGACUAGAGAAUAGUUGCGGUAGGCGGAAUGUAUGGUGUAGCAGUGAAAUGCGUAGAGAUCAUACAGAACACCGAUUGCGAAGGCAGCUUACCAAACUAUAUCUGACGUUGAGGCACGAAAGCGUGGGUAGCAAACAGGAUUAGAUACCCCAGUAGUC
Molecule: ribosomal RNA, 460 nt
Filed under: uncultured bacterium
Lineage: Bacteria
Description: partial 16S ribosomal RNA
Rfam family: Bacterial small subunit ribosomal RNA
Source: RNAcentral